CAGUCGCCGCGGGAAUACAGAGGGUGCGAGCGUUAAUCGGAUUUACUGGGCGUAAAGCGUGCGUAGGCGGCUUUUUAAGUCGGAUGUGAAAUCCCUGAGCUUAACUUAGGAAUUGCAUUCGAUGCUGGGAAGCUAGAGUAUGGGAGAGGAUGGUAGAAUUCCAGGUGUAGCGGUGAAAUGCGUAGAGAUCUGGAGGAAUACCGAUGGCGAAGGCAGCCAUCUGGCCUAAUACUGACGCUGAGGUACGAAAGCAUGGGGAGCAAACAGGAUUAGAUACCCGGGUAGUCCCUGUCUCUUAUAC
RNAcentral lists this ribosomal RNA (301 nucleotides) under uncultured bacterium. RNAcentral describes it as "partial 16S ribosomal RNA". It matches the Rfam family "Bacterial small subunit ribosomal RNA", at positions 509 to 807 of the family's 1533-position model. The record is from RNAcentral.